AAAAAUCAUAAGCCCAAUGCGGGGCUCGAACCCGCGACAACCAGAUUAAGAGUCUGGUGCUCUACCGACUGAGCUAACCGGGCGGCAUU
RNAcentral lists this transfer RNA (89 nucleotides) under Caenorhabditis elegans. Its description in RNAcentral is "Unclassified non-coding RNA F55F3.6". The record is from RNAcentral. Lineage: Eukaryota; Metazoa; Nematoda; Chromadorea; Rhabditida; Rhabditidae.